ACGCUCGACACCUACGGGAGUCAGCAGUGGGGAAUAUUGCACAAUGGGGGAAACCCUGAUGCAGCGACGCCGCGUGAGCGAAGAAGUAUUUCGGUAUGUAAAGCUCUAUCAGCAGGGAAGAAAAUGACGGUACCUGACUAAGAAGCACCGGCUAAAUACGUGCCAGCAGCCGCGGUAAUCUGAGCGGGCUGGCAAGGC
This 198-nucleotide ribosomal RNA is filed under the name uncultured bacterium. Its description in RNAcentral is "partial 16S ribosomal RNA". It matches the Rfam family "Bacterial small subunit ribosomal RNA", at positions 328 to 539 of the family's 1533-position model. The record is from RNAcentral.